This 1385-nucleotide unclassified non-coding RNA is filed under the name Hevea brasiliensis (rubber tree). Lineage: Eukaryota; Viridiplantae; Streptophyta; Magnoliopsida; Malpighiales; Euphorbiaceae. The record is from RNAcentral.
CAACCUUUAAGUAUGAUAUGCAGCUUUUAUUUUACUACCAAAUUAGACCAGUCCACAUCCCAUUGACACAUGUUUAGCAGUGGCCCAUAAAGUUCCUUAAAGGAACCAAUACUUUACAUAUUGCAAAGACUGAUUACAUUUUUCUACAAUUUCCUGACAGAAACAAUGAACCAUGAUUUAUUUUUUAAGAGUACAUUGAUUUGAAACCUUCUGUUAGAGGAACAACUUUUGCUGACACCUUGGAUUGCAACUUCGAUACAGCUUGACGGAUGUCCUCUAUACUGUAACGAGAAGAAAAAUGAGUCAACAUGACAGCUUUAUUCCGAAUCCAUUCAGCAUUUUUGAUAAUCUCGUACAAAUGAGUAUGACCAUGUUUUUGUGCAUGUUCUAUGCUGAAACCAUCAUCAAGGAAAGUUGCCUCAGUUAUGAGAAUUUUUGCUCUCAAUGCAUCUGCAUUACGUGGAUCAAGCAUGUACUCUGCUGUGGUAUCUCCAGUAAAGGCCACCUCUGGGGACAAUAUUAUAUCUGUAAUCUCAACACCUGACUUCUUCAAUUUCUCAAUCUGUUUCCCUUUGAGAUGAAUAUACUGCUUCUUCAACUUUUUUCUAAUAGAAUAGAUAACAUAACCCUGACUAGGUAUAACAUGCUGGGUUCGAAAUGGUCGAACUACAAUAUCAUUCCGCAAUUCAUAUGUUUCACCCACAUCCAAUGCAACCAAAUCAAGAUUCAAUUCCACUUGCCCCAUGGCCCGGUGGAUAUCAAAAAGCUUCUCAACAUCCUGUUUGAUGCAAGGGGGCACAAAUAUAGUCGGAGGUUUUAAGUUGUACAAACCACGACUAGCCACAUACAUUGGCAGCCCACCAAUGUGAUCGAGGUGGGCAUGAGUAAUGAACACAAAGUUCUGGUGAAUUGCCCUUGUUGGACAUCUCCCAAUAUCAAAAGCACACUUGAACUCCGGUAUAAUUAAACAGGUCUCUUGGCCCCCAAUAGAGAUUCCCUCGAUUGAGUAACCUUCCAAGUCGACUCCUUUACGGGUGACUGCGGCACGGGCCUUUUUGUAUUCCUCUUCUUCCUCAAUUACACGACUUAUUGCCGAUAAAUAACCGGAGGAUUGGAGGGGAGUUGAAUUUAUGGGUCUUUUGGGAUGGGUUUGGAGAGGAAAUUGAUGGUAGGUUGGUGGUGCUGCUGGUUUAGGGGAAAUGGGAUGGUUGUAUGGGAAAAUUGAUGGGAUUUUUGGGGGUGAUAUGGGUAAAGAAAUUUGCAUUUUUGGGGAGCGGUGGUUUUGAAUUGAAACAAGAUUGCAUUAAGAGAGGUUUUAGGGAGGUUUUCCUUUUUCUUUACACUUUAUGUAUCACAACAGCAGAGAUAUUCACGCUACACCAUGC